RNAcentral lists this non-coding RNA (26 nucleotides) under Mus musculus (house mouse). The record is from RNAcentral. Lineage: Eukaryota; Metazoa; Chordata; Mammalia; Rodentia; Muridae.
UUCAAACCUUGGCAGCCGCAUCUAAU